This is a small nuclear RNA of Peromyscus eremicus (cactus mouse), 107 nucleotides long. Lineage: Eukaryota; Metazoa; Chordata; Mammalia; Rodentia; Cricetidae. The record is from RefSeq and is a predicted model, not a curated record.
GUGCUUGCUUUAGCCGCACAUACACUAAAAUUGGAAUGAUACAGAAAAGAUCAGCAUGGCCCCUGUGCAAGGAUGACAGGCAAAUUUGUGAAGUAUAUCUUUUUUUU